CCUACGGGAGGCAGCAGUGGGGAAUAUUGCACAAUGGGCGAAACCCUGAUGCAGCGACGCCGCGUGAGUGAAGAAGUUUUUCGGUAUGUAAACCUCUUUCAGCAGGGAAGAAAAUGACGUUACCUGACUAAGAAGCCCCGGCUAACACCGGGCCAGCAGCCGCGGUAAGACUGAGGGUCCGGGCGUUAUCUGGUUUUAUUGGGCCUAACGUGAGCGUAGGCGGCUUGUCGAGCGUGCUGUGAAAUGUCCGGGCUCAACCCGGGACUUGCAGCGCGAACUGGCGUGCUUGAGUCCGCGGAAGGCAGGCGGAAUUCGAGGUGUAGCGGUGAAAUGCGUAGAUAUGUGGAAGAACCCCGGUUGCGAAGGCAGCUUGCUGGAGCGGAACUGACGCUGAUGCUCGAAAGCGUGGGUAGCGAACAGGAUUAGAUACCCGUGUAGUC
RNAcentral lists this ribosomal RNA (440 nucleotides) under uncultured bacterium. Its description in RNAcentral is "partial 16S ribosomal RNA". It matches the Rfam family "Bacterial small subunit ribosomal RNA", at positions 338 to 795 of the family's 1533-position model. The record is from RNAcentral.